UGGGGAAUAUUGGACAAUGGGCGCAAGCCUGAUCCAGCAAUGCCGCGUGAGUGAUGAAGGCCUUAGGGUUGUAAAGCUCUUUCGGCGGGGACGAUGAUGACGGUACCCGCAGAAGAAGCCCCGGCUAACUUCGUGCCAGCAGCCGCGGUAAUACGAAGGGGGCUAGCGUUGUUCGGAAUUACUGGGCGUAAAGGGCGCGUAGGCGGCGCAACAAGUUAGGCGUGAAAGCCCCGGGCUCAACCUGGGAAUUGCGCUUGAUACUGUUGUGCUUGAGUUCGGGAGAGGUGAGUGGAAUUCCCAGUGUAGAGGUGAAAUUCGUAGAUAUUGGGAAGAACACCGGUGGCGAAGGCGGCUCACUGGACCGAUACUGACGCUGAGGCGCGAAAGCGUGGGGAGCAAACAGGAUUAGAUACCCCCGUAGUCC
RNAcentral lists this ribosomal RNA (424 nucleotides) under uncultured bacterium. Its description in RNAcentral is "bacterial SSU rRNA". It matches the Rfam family "Bacterial small subunit ribosomal RNA", at positions 355 to 796 of the family's 1533-position model. The record is from RNAcentral.